Sphaerodactylus townsendi is the source of this 470-nucleotide long non-coding RNA. RefSeq lists it as uncharacterized. NCBI's taxonomy places the organism in Eukaryota, Metazoa, Chordata, Lepidosauria, Squamata, Sphaerodactylidae. The transcript has 2 exons. The record is from RefSeq and is a predicted model, not a curated record.
UACCAGAAGCAAAACUCCCCCCCGCCCCCAGCAACAUUACACGAAAGGAAAGAAAUGCCAUUAGGAAUCUCAGCUCAUAACAUAGAGACAUGGCUAAAGUUUGAAAAUGAAGUAAAUGAAGGAAUAGGUCUAAUUGAAGAUAAAAAGGUGAAUAGAAAUUAUGGACCAAUGUACAAAAUUAUGAUUAGAGCUGCACAUAUGGUGAUUGCAUUGGGAUGGAAAGAUAAAAAGAAAUGGACAAUCUCAAAAUGGUUGGAAUAUGUUUGGGAACAAAUACAGUUAGAAAUUUUUGAGAUGAUGUCAAAAAAUAUGUUAUGGCAAGACAAGCUAAGAGACAUUAUGGAGAUAUGGUCAAUCUUUGAGAAAUGGAUGAGAGAAGCCGGAUUUGACAAAGAAAUAUGGGAGCAAAGAAUCCGAAGAAUGAACUUUCUGCUGCUUGCUUGAACAAACAGAAAAAGAAGAAGAGAGGG